RNAcentral lists this ribosomal RNA (376 nucleotides) under uncultured organism. RNAcentral's name for it is "partial 16S ribosomal RNA". It matches the Rfam family "Bacterial small subunit ribosomal RNA", at positions 527 to 896 of the family's 1533-position model. The record is from RNAcentral.
GUAGGGUGCGAGCGUUAUCCGGAAUCAUUGGGCGUAAAGAGCUCGUAGGCGGUUCAGCAAGUCGGCUGUGAAAUUCCGAGGCUCAACCUCGGAACUGCAGUCGAUACUGCUGUGACUCGAGUCCGGUAGAGGAGAAUGGAAUUCAGGGUGUAGCGGUGAAAUGCGCAGAUAUCCUGAGGAACACCAAUAGCGAAGGCGGUUCUCUGGGCCGGUACUGACGCUGAGGAGCGAAAGCGUGGGUAGCAAACAGGAUUAGAUACCCUGGUAGUCCCACGCCCGUAAACGUUGGACACUAGGUGUGGCGUUCCGACCAACGGGUGCCGUGCCGAAGCUAACGCAUUAAGUGUCCCCGCCUGGGAGUACGGCCGCAAGGCUA